GAUGAACGCUGGCGGCGUGCCUAAUACAUGCAAGUCGAGCGAACGGACGAGAAGCUUGCUUCUCUGAUGUUAGCGGCGGACGGGUGAGUAACACGUGGAUAACCUACCUAUAAGACUGGGAUAACUUCGGGAAACCGGAGCUAAUACCGGAUAAUAUUUUGAACCGCAUGGUUCAAAAGUGAAAGACGGUCUUGCUGUCACUUAUAGAUGGAUCCGCGCUGCAUUAGCUAGUUGGUAAGGUAACGGCUUACCAAGGCAACGAUGCAUAGCCGACCUGAGAGGGUGAUCGGCCACACUGGAACUGAGACACGGUCCAGACUCCUACGGGAGGCAGCAGUAGGGAAUCUUCCGCAAUGGGCGAAAGCCUGACGGAGCAACGCCGCGUGAGUGAUGAAGGUCUUCGGAUCGUAAAACUCUGUUAUUAGGGAAGAACAUAUGUGUAAGUAACUGUGCACAUCUUGACGGUACCUAAUCAGAAAGCCACGGCUAACUACGUGCCAGCAGCCGCGGUAAUACGUAGGUGGCAAGCGUUAUCCGGAAUUAUUGGGCGUAAAGCGCGCGUAGCGGUUUUUUAAGUCUGAUGUGAAAGCCCACGGCUCAACCGUGGAGGGUCAUUGGAAACUGGAAAACUUGAGUGCAGAAGAGGAAAGUGGAAUUCCAUGUGUAGCGAUGAAAUGCGCAGAGAUAUGGAGGAACACCAGUGGCGAAGGCGACUUCCUGGUCUGUAACUGACGCUGAUGUGCGAAAGCGUGGGGAUCAAACAGGAUUAGAUACCCUGGUAGUCCACGCCGUAAACGAUGAGUGCUAAGUGUUAGGGGGUUUCCGCCCCUUAGUGCUGCAGCUAACGCAUUAAGCACUCCGCCUGGGGAGUACGACCGCAAGGUUGAAACUCAAAGGAAUUGACGGGGACCCGCACAAGCGGUGGAGCAUGUGGUUUAAUUCGAAGCAACGCGAAGAACCUUACCAAAUCUUGACAUCCUUUGACAACUCUAGAGAUAGAGCCUUCCCCUUCGGGGGACAAAGUGACAGGUGGUGCAUGGUUGUCGUCAGCUCGUGUCGUGAGAUGUUGGGUUAAGUCCCGCAACGAGCGCAACCCUUAAGCUUAGUUGCCAUCAUUAAGUUGGGCACUCUAAGUUGACUGCCGGUGACAAACCGGAGGAAGGUGGGGAUGACGUCAAAUCAUCAUGCCCCUUAUGAUUUGGGCUACACACGUGCUACAAUGGACAAUACAAAGGGCAGCGAAACCGCGAGGUCAAGUAAAUCCCAUAAAGUUGUUCUCAGUUCGGAUUGUAGUCUGCAACUCGACUACAUGAAGCUGGAAUCGCUAGUAAUCGUAGAUCAGCAUGCUACGGUGAAUACGUUCCCGGGUCU
RNAcentral lists this ribosomal RNA (1371 nucleotides) under uncultured bacterium. Its description in RNAcentral is "bacterial SSU rRNA". It matches the Rfam family "Bacterial small subunit ribosomal RNA", at positions 28 to 1381 of the family's 1533-position model. The record is from RNAcentral.